AGAGAGGUGCUUGCACCUUUGCUGACGAGCGGCGGACGGGUGAGUAAUGCUUGGGAACAUGCCUUGAGGUGGGGGACAACAGUUGGAAACGACUGCUAAUACCGCAUAAUGUCUACGGACCAAAGGGGGCUUCGGCUCUCGCCUUUAGAUUGGCCCAAGUGGGAUUAGCUAGUUGGUGAGGUAAUGGCUCACCAAGGCGACGAUCCCUAGCUGGUUUGAGAGGAUGAUCAGCCACACUGGGACUGAGACACGGCCCAGACUCCUACGGGAGGCAGCAGUGGGGAAUAUUGCACAAUGGGCGCAAGCCUGAUGCAGCCAUGCCGCGUGUGUGAAGAAGGCCUUCGGGUUGUAAAGCACUUUCAGUCAGGAGGAAAGGUUAGUCGUUAAUACCGGCUAGCUGUGACGUUACUGACAGAAGAAGCACCGGCUAACUCCGUGCCAGCAGCCGCGGUAAUACGGAGGGUGCGAGCGUUAAUCGGAAUUACUGGGCGUAAAGCGUACGCAGGCGGUUUGUUAAGCGAGAUGUGAAAGCCCCGGGCUCAACCUGGGAACUGCAUUUCGAACUGGCAAACUAGAGUGUGAUAGAGGGUGGUAGAAUUUCAGGUGUAGCGGUGAAAUGCGUAGAGAUCUGAAGGAAUACCGAUGGCGAAGGCAGCCACCUGGGUCAACACUGACGCUCAUGUACGAAAGCGU
Molecule: ribosomal RNA, 693 nt
Filed under: Pseudoalteromonas sp.
Lineage: Bacteria; Pseudomonadati; Pseudomonadota; Gammaproteobacteria; Alteromonadales; Pseudoalteromonadaceae
Description: bacterial SSU rRNA
Rfam family: Bacterial small subunit ribosomal RNA
Source: RNAcentral